GCGCCGCUGGCCCGGCGGCGCGGCCCGGCUCUACGCGCUGGCCGUCGGCGGGUUCGUGCUGGCGGUGGCCGGGAUCGUGGGCCCGGGCGUGGCGC
RNAcentral lists this transfer RNA (95 nucleotides) under Actinoplanes utahensis. RNAcentral describes it as "tRNA-Val". Lineage: Bacteria; Bacillati; Actinomycetota; Actinomycetes; Micromonosporales; Micromonosporaceae. The record is from RNAcentral.